AUGGGCUCCGCCACGGGCGCCGAAGCGCCGGUGCGCCUGCACGGCGACCUGGAGGUGUGGAUCGCGGAGGCCAGGCGGCUGCCCAACAUGGACAUCACGUCGGAGCGGAUGCGGAGCUGCUUCACCGCCUGCGUCAGCGGGGAGGGCGGGUCCAGGAGCGGCGGCAGCACCACCCACAAGAAGAAGAAGAAGCGGCUCAUCACCAGCGCCAGCUACGCCUACGUGUCCCUCUGCCUGGCGGGCGCCACGGUGGCGCAGACCCGGGUGAUCCCCAACUCCGGCGGGCCCCGGUGGGACGAGCGCUUCCGCGUCGAGGUCGCGCACGCCGCCGCCACCCUCGACCUCCACGUCAAGGACAACCACGUCUUCGGCGCCCGCCUCAUCGGCGUCGCCUCCGUGCCCGCCCGCCGCCUCGCCGCCGGGUCCCUCGUCCACGGCUGGUUCCCCAUCAUCCACCACGGUCACCACCAUCACCAUCACCACCACAGCCCGGCCGCCGAGCUGCGCUUCUCCCUGCGCUACACCCCUGCCCAGCUGCAGCACGACAGCAGCCCGCUGUGCGCCGGCGUGCCCAACGCCUACUUCCCGCUCCGGCGGGGCGGCCGCGUCACGCUCUACCAGGACGCGCACGUCGCCGACGGGCAGCUGCCUGACAUCGAGCUCGACGGCGGCGCGACGUACACGCACGGCCGGUGCUGGGAGGACAUCUCCCGCGCCGUCGUCGACGCGCACCACCUCGUCUACGUCGUCGGCUGGUCCAUCCACCACCCCGUCCGGCUCGUCAGGGAGCCCGCCGCCGGCGCCGGCACUGGCACCGCCAUGAAGACGCUCGGGGAGCUCCUCAAGGGCAAGGUCCACGAGGGCGUCCGCGUGGUCAUGCUCAUCUGGGACGACAAGACCUCGCACGACAGGUUCCUCCUCAAAACGGACGGCGUGAUGCACACCCACGACGAGGAGAGCAGGAAGUUCUUCAGGCACUCGGGCGUCCACUGCGUGCUGGUUCCCCGCUACGGCAGCAACAAGCUCAGCAUCUUCAAGCAGCACGUUGUGGGGACUCUGUUUACGCACCAUCAGAAAUGCGUGAUCGUCGAUUCGCAGGCCGCGGGAAACAACCGCAACAUCACCGCAUUCCUCGGCGGUCUGGACCUGUGUGACGGCAGAUAUGAUACGCCUGAGCAUAGGCUUUUCAAUGACCUUGACACUGUUUUUCACAAGGAUUUUCAUAAUCCUACCUUCCCUGUUAAUUCUUAUGGACCCAGACAACCCUGGCAUGACUUGCACUGCAAAGUCGAGGGUCCUGCCGCCUAUGACAUAUUGACAAACUUCGAACAACGAUGGCGUAAAGCCACGAAAUGGAGGGUCAACCUUAAAAAGGUUGUUAUUUGGCAUUACGACACAUUGAUCAAGAUUAAACGGAUGCCCUGGAUCGUUUCACCUUCUACCGAUGAGGCGAAUGCGCGUGUUUGUCACGAACAGGACACAGAAAACUGGCAUGUACAGGUUUUCAGGUCAAUUGACUCAGGAUCUGUCAAGGGGUUUCCUAAACUUGUCCAAGAGGCACAGUCACAGAAUCUAGUUUGUGCCAAGAAUCUAAAAAUUGACAGGAGCAUACACAGUGCAUACGUGAAAGCCAUCAGGUCUGCACAACACUUCAUAUACAUCGAGAACCAGUACUUCAUUGGGUCUUCAUUCUGCUGGCAUUCACACAAAAAUACAGGUGCAGACAAUUUAAUACCCGUCGAGCUGGCCUUGAAGAUUGCGAGCAAGAUCAAAGCGAAGCAGCGAUUUGCGGUCUACAUUGUUAUCCCAAUGUGGCCUGAAGGCAUCCCAACCACAGCAGCAGUGCAGCCAAUCCUCUUUUGGCAGGGGCAAACCAUGUCUAUGAUGUACAAGAUCAUAGCGGACGCUCUCGAGAGCCAGGGUCUCGUCGACUCCCAUCCUCAAGACUAUCUGAACUUCUACUGCCUCGGGAGACGCGAGCUCGCCGCCACUCCAGAGGCGAGCUUAUGCAACGACAACUCUGCUCUGGGCAUGGCGCAGAAGCACCGGCGGUUCAUGAUCUACGUGCACUCCAAAGGAAUGGUGGUGGACGACGAGUACGUGGUGAUCGGGUCGGCCAACAUAAACCAGAGGUCCAUGGAAGGGUCCAGGGACACGGAGAUCGCCAUGGGCGCGUACCAGCCGCACCACACCUCGGCCGGAAACCGCGGCGGCCCUCCUCGCGGACAGGUGUACGGGUACAGGAUGUCGCUGUGGGCGGAGCACCUGGGCGGCAGGGCGGAGGAGUGGUUCCGGCGGCCCGAGUCGGAGGAGUGCGUACGGCGGGUGAACGCGGCGGCGGAGGAGAACUGGCGGGCGUACGUGUCGCCGGACGAGGCGACGAGGGGCCACCUGAUGCGGUACCCCGUGAAGGUGGACAGGGACGGCGGCAUCGGGCCACUGCCGGGCCACGAGUGCUUCCCGGACGUCGGCGGCAAGGUCCUCGGCGCGCAGUCAUCUCUGCCCGAUGCUCUCACCACGUAA
Molecule: ribosomal RNA, 2523 nt
Filed under: Triticum aestivum (bread wheat)
Lineage: Eukaryota; Viridiplantae; Streptophyta; Magnoliopsida; Poales; Poaceae
Description: partial small subunit ribosomal RNA
Source: RNAcentral